UACGGGGGGGGCAAGCGUUGUUCGGAAUUACUGGGCGUAAAGGGCGCGUAGGCGGUUUGCUAAGUUGGAUGUGAAAACUCUGGGCUUAACCCAGAGCCUGCAUCCAAAACUGGCAAACUUGAGUACUGGAGGGGAAAGCGGAAUUCCUGGUGUAGCGGUGAAAUGUGUAGAUAUCAGGAGGAACACCGGUGGCGAAGGCGGCUUUCUGGACAGUAACUGACGCUGAGGCGCGAAAGCUAGGGGAGCAAACAGG
RNAcentral lists this ribosomal RNA (253 nucleotides) under uncultured bacterium. Its description in RNAcentral is "partial 16S ribosomal RNA". It matches the Rfam family "Bacterial small subunit ribosomal RNA", at positions 524 to 776 of the family's 1533-position model. The record is from RNAcentral.